RNAcentral lists this transfer RNA (75 nucleotides) under Anguilla anguilla (European eel). RNAcentral describes it as "tRNA-OTHER". Lineage: Eukaryota; Metazoa; Chordata; Actinopteri; Anguilliformes; Anguillidae. The record is from RNAcentral.
GGUACUAACUUGCACAGUGGGUAAGGAACUGGGCUUGUAACCAAAAGGUCCUAGGUUCGAUUCCUGGGUAGGCCA